AGACGAACGCUGGCGGCGUGCUUAACACAUGCAAGUCGAACGGAGCACCCUUGAAAGAGAUUUCGGUCAAUGGAUAGGAAUGCUUAGUGGCGGACUGGUGAGUAACGCGUGAGGAACCUGCCUUCCAGAGGGGGACAACAGUUGGAAACGACUGCUAAUACCGCAUGACACAUUUGAAUCGCAUGGUUUGAAUGUCAAAGAUUUAUCGCUGGAAGAUGGCCUCGCGUCUGAUUAGCUAGUUGGCAGGGUAACGGCCUACCAAGGCGACGAUCAGUAGCCGGACUGAGAGGUUGACCGGCCACAUUGGGACUGAGAUACGGCCCAGACUCCUACGGGAGGCAGCAGUGGGGAAUAUUGGGCAAUGGACGCAAGUCUGACCCAGCAACGCCGCGUGAAGGAAGAAGGCUUUCGGGUUGUAAACUUCUUUUAAGGGGGAAGAGCAGAAGACGGUACCCCUUGAAUAAGCCACGGCUAACUACGUGCCAGCAGCCGCGGUAAUACGUAAGUGGCAAGCGUUGUCCGGAUUUACUGGGUGUAAAGGGCGUGCAGCCGGGCCGACNAGUCAGAUGUGGAAUCCGCGGGCUUAACCCGCGAACUGCAUUUGAAACUAUUGGUCUUGAGUACCGGAGAGGUCAUCGGGAAUCCNUGUGUANCGGUGAAAUGCGUANAUAUNAGGAAG
RNAcentral lists this ribosomal RNA (679 nucleotides) under uncultured bacterium. Its description in RNAcentral is "bacterial SSU rRNA". It matches the Rfam family "Bacterial small subunit ribosomal RNA", at positions 26 to 704 of the family's 1533-position model. The record is from RNAcentral.